Molecule: microRNA, 21 nt
Filed under: Bombyx mori (domestic silkworm)
Lineage: Eukaryota; Metazoa; Arthropoda; Insecta; Lepidoptera; Bombycidae
Description: bmo-miR-3389-3p
Source: miRBase by way of RNAcentral
CCCUGCGGAACACCGCGCUCG